UACGUAGGGACCAAGCGUUGUUCGGAUUUACUGGGCGUAAAGGGCGCGUAGGCGGCUUAACAAGUCACUUGUGAAAUCUCCGGGCUUAACUCGGAACGGCCAAGUGAAACUGUCAAGCUAGAGUGCAGAAGGGGCAAUCGGAAUUCUUGGUGUAGCGGUGAAAUGCGUAGAUAUCAAGAGGAACACCUGAGGUGAAGACGGGUUGCUGGGCUGACACUGACGCUGGGGCGCGAAAGCCAGGGGAGCAAACGGG
This 253-nucleotide ribosomal RNA is filed under the name uncultured bacterium. Its description in RNAcentral is "partial 16S ribosomal RNA". It matches the Rfam family "Bacterial small subunit ribosomal RNA", at positions 524 to 776 of the family's 1533-position model. The record is from RNAcentral.